GUAUUAUGGAGAGUUUGAUCCUGGCUCAGGACGAACGCUGGCGGCGUGCCUAACACAUGCAAGUCGAACGGGGGUUUUGUUUCGGCAGAAUCCUAGUGGCGAACGGGUGAGUAACGCGUAGGCAACCUGCCCCCCGGAUUGGGACAACACCCCGAAAGGGGUGCUAAUACCGGAUACGAAGAUAGCA
Molecule: ribosomal RNA, 187 nt
Filed under: Succiniclasticum ruminis DSM 9236
Lineage: Bacteria; Bacillati; Bacillota; Negativicutes; Acidaminococcales; Acidaminococcaceae
Description: 16S rRNA. Bacterial SSU
Rfam family: Bacterial small subunit ribosomal RNA
Source: RNAcentral